GGGCCGCUAGCUCAACCAGGCAGAGCAGCUGACUCUUAAUCAGCAGGUUACAGGUUCGAUUCCUGUGCGGCUCACCA
This 77-nucleotide transfer RNA is filed under the name Chloroflexota bacterium. RNAcentral describes it as "Chloroflexi bacterium tRNA-Lys". It matches the Rfam family "tRNA". From Rfam's summary of the family: Transfer RNA (tRNA) molecules are approximately 80 nucleotides in length. Their secondary structure includes four short double-helical elements and three loops (D, anti-codon, and T loops). The record is from RNAcentral. RNAcentral also lists the same sequence under 1 other name. Lineage: Bacteria; Bacillati; Chloroflexota.